Long non-coding RNA from Acinonyx jubatus (cheetah), 2100 nucleotides. RefSeq lists it as uncharacterized. The transcript has 2 exons. The record is from RefSeq and is a predicted model, not a curated record. Lineage: Eukaryota; Metazoa; Chordata; Mammalia; Carnivora; Felidae.
GUUUAGUAGGUGGAUUUGACGGAAGGGAGAAAUGAAGAGAUAAACAUUUUUGAGGGGGAAGGUGAAAUCCAGUUGCUCUGUCCUCAUUAGAAAAUGCUUUAUACAUGAGGUGGGUGUGGAUGAGGACUUUGGACGAGUGGGAAUUGAAAUUUCCAUUGCUGUGCCUCUUACCUUGGGCUGCCUUUGGUGUAUCCCGAAUAAAGUUUGCCUGCAGCCUAAUGGCCAGUAGGCACUAACUUCCUAACCAAGAGUUUCAUCAGAUGAAAACCUGGAGAGUUUUUCCAACCUCUACGUUGGAGGGUUUGACUUAAGACAAAUAUGUGUGUUUUGAAAAAGUUCCCUGUGGACUGUAGGAAUUCAUCCUCACCCUCUGGCCCAUGGGAUCAUGGGCCUGGGGAAACCACUAAUUUCUCUUUGCUCCAAACUCAGAAAGGGAGAAGAAUAAAUAUAUGGCACAGAAGUAGGACCAGAGCAGGGCUAAUAGUGACUUUCAGGCUUCUUCCUUUUUGAUUCUUAUUCCUAGACUCAGAAUCCACCCAUCUCGAUGGCCCAGGUUCUGCAUUGACUGGAGCAUAUUUAAGAGUCUUCAGAACCUCAAACCUAAUGCUAAUCUUUGGUUGGAACAAGGGACAGAUUCAUGGCUCUUGCAUUUCCCAGAAUUCCCAUGAAGAGGAGAUGCCAAACAGGAUACACACAGGUGAGGGCCAGUCAAGAUAAUUCCAAGUCAAGGCGUGUAACUCAGCUCAUAAACAGUCAGAUAGUAACUCUUAACGGUAGUUAUAUAACUUCUAGUUCUGUGAUCCAGGGAUCUUAGGCUACUUCUAUAGCUAAAGUGUGAUGAAUUUAGAUUUUUCUUUCUCAGUAUCUUUUGAUUGCUGCACUGUCCUUAUCUUAUACCAAUGGACUAUGAGAUAGGCAAACAAUUUUCUAUUUGAAUGACAUGCAAAAUGCUUUUCCCCUUAGAACUUUAUAGGGAAACUUGGCCAAAGGCAAAGAAUAUCAUAUCCUAGCCCUAUCUUCAAGUCCUUGGCCUCACUCCUGAUGACCAGUAGUAUGAAGUAUCUGCUCUGUGUUUAGGGUGUCUCUAGCCCCCUGUCCCCAGUCAGCUCCAGAAGCUGACUUUAUCUCUGGCUUCUGAAGUUUCUUUAAGAGGCAGUCAGGAAAGUUGGUCGAGUGAGAGUGGGUGUGUAUGUUACAGUAAUAAAAAAUGUCUAUGUAGACAGCACGAUUUCAGAGUUUUUUUGACUGCUUGGAAGGGUAAGCAAGUUUGAUAACCUUUAGUGUAUUCAGUUGACUAAAGUUUGGAGGAAUCUCUUAUUCCAUCUACUUUUUUUUUUUAAGUUCUUGGCAGUCUGUGUAUCUAAAAAUUUCCCUUCCUUAUGGUCUUGAUUUAGAAAGCAAAUAGGGGUGCCUGAGCGGCUCAGUUGGUUAAGCGUCCAACUCUUGAUUCAGCUCAGGUCAGGAUCUCCCAGUUUCGCGGGUUCGAGCCCCGCAUUGGGCUCUGUGCUUGAUAGAGCAAAGGCUGCUUAGGAUUUUCUCUCUCCUCUCUGCCCCUCCCCCACUUGCGCUGUCUCUGUCUCUGUCUCUCUCAAAACAAAAAUAAAACUGAAAAAAAUAAAAUAAAAGAGAAAGCAAACAUGACUGAGAAAAUGUGUUUAAAGAUAAUUUCAGUUUUUACUUAGUUUUUACAUAGCAGUGCAUCACAUAGUGUUGCGGAUGCUGGGGGUGUAAUGGCGAGAAAAGCAACAUGGCUCUUGCUUUCAUACAGCUUACAUUUUCGUUGGGGAAGAUAGACAUUAUCUGAAGGUUCCCAUCAGAAAACAAGUCCAAAUGUCUCAGGGAGAGUGUUUCAUCCAAGACUAAAUAGUGGUAAUUUGAAUCCCUUGGCAGGCAUGACCUUUUUCUUCUCAGCUCAUCCCUGAUCCCUAGAUCCAGCACUAGAGCUUCCGGAAGGUUAUAUACAAUCAGACUUAACCCUUGUCUUUCCCCAGAUGCAGGAAUUCCAUUUUCCAAAGCUACACUGUUCUCCAGGCUAGAACAAUGGGGAGAAUGCUGGAUCUGGAGAGAGAGAGGUGGCUACCUCAAGGAAAAUGUAACCAG